UACGUAGGGCGCAAGCGUUGUCCGGAAUUAUUGGGCGUAAAGAGCUCGUAGGCGGCUUGUCGCGUCGGUUGUGAAAACCCAUGGCUCAACCGUGGGCUUGCAGCCGAUACGGGCAGGCUAGAGUUCGGUAGGGGAGACUGGAAUUCCUGGUGUAGCGGUGAAAUGCGCAGAUAUCAGGAGGAACACCGGUGGCGAAGGCGGGUCCCUGGGCCGAUACUGACGCUGAGGAGCGAAAGCGUGGGGAGCGAACAGG
RNAcentral lists this ribosomal RNA (253 nucleotides) under uncultured bacterium. RNAcentral's name for it is "partial 16S ribosomal RNA". It matches the Rfam family "Bacterial small subunit ribosomal RNA", at positions 524 to 776 of the family's 1533-position model. The record is from RNAcentral.